Molecule: long non-coding RNA, 1470 nt
Organism: Triplophysa rosa
Lineage: Eukaryota; Metazoa; Chordata; Actinopteri; Cypriniformes; Nemacheilidae
Exons: 4
Source: RefSeq, a predicted model, not a curated record
CCACAGACACCAACAUCCAACAUUAUGUAAUGGGAUUUGGUGAGUGAUAGCUAGGUUAGCCUAUCAGCGAGUGUGGCGCCCUAUUUAAAGGGGUAAUUGGUUGUAGCCUAGUAUGCGUCACAUCCGAUCCGUCUGACUUUCUCCCUUCUGCGCUGUUGUUGUUGUUGGUGGUGGCAGGUAAGCUGAUAGCUGCUAGCAUACGGUUAUGUUUUUUAGUUGUUAUAUAGUAUAAGUGUACUUUUAAUGUUCUUUUGACUUGUAGCGCGUCUUUUCCUUGGCGCUGGUGUUGCUCUGGUGGCCUUCCGUGCUGCAGUUGUGGGUUAUAUGACCGCUCGUCUUUCAGGCAUGGUUCCUUGCAUCCCUUCAUACAAGCGGGUGAAAUGACUGAACCGGCACCUGUAAAGUGUGAUGCACGUGAGGUAUAACCCCUUCUGGAUUCUCGUUCUCAUUCCAAUGUACCACUUCUUCGCACUGCUGAGUGUGGUCGCGUUCCAAUGUUCGGCUGCUUAGACGCCGUUAUCACCGCUGCUUAAAGAGAACUGUGUUCGUUCUAUAGUUAUUGCUGCUGUACCACUUCUUCGUGCUGCUGAGUGCGGUUGCGUUCCAAUGUACGGCCGCUUAGAUGCCGUUAUCACCGCUGCUUAAAGAGAGCUGCUCUCGUUGGGUUACCUUAUGCCUUCAUAGUGCUGCGCUAUGUAUUUGUGUACAUCUGCAAAGGACUCAGACGUUACUCUUUAUGAGCUGUUCUUUAUUUAGUUUCUUUCGUUUGUUUUUUGUUUUCUUUGUGAAAUGAUUGGUUUAUAUAUGAUUAUUUGUAUUUGUUUCAUUUAUUGCGAGUUGCCUGUGCGCCACAUGGGACCAAGUAUCUGCAAUCCAGAGCUAUUUGUGGAUUGCGUGUAGGUAACUGAUAAAAGCAACCUGAUGAUUUUUGGUUAUUUUCUUUUUGAGUUUUGUGAUUUUUGGUUUGUGUGUUUUACGUUGAUUUGUUAUUAAUUACUUUUUGAUUUAUCGCAGAGGCCGGGGUCCCACGGGUGAACGGAUCUCGUCCUAUGGUGGUGGUGCUUCAUUGAGUGCUGUGUAACGCACUGCAUGUUUGAUAGUCCGUGCCAUCUCUCCUUCAGACAGAGACUCGUCUUCUGAACCGCUGGCCGAGGACGAACUGCUGAAGAACAAAGCCAUCAGAGAGCCUAGAGUGAUCAGUCCAUAAAGUCCAGUGUAACAGUCUAUUCCACAAGGACAUUGAUGUUUUGAUGCAUAAAGUGAAUUGGAAUGUGCAGGAUGACGGUGAAAAGCACUUCCAGAUCAACAGUUGGAAGGCAAAGCCAAAAUAAAUAGAUAAAUAAAAUGUGCGGUGGAAGCAUACUGUAUUACACUGGUCACUGAAGCAACCCAUGGCUAUGAAGUUGAAAAUUAAAAUAUAUGGUAAAUUUUAUAUUUAUUACAAAUACAUAUAUUAUGUAAUGCUGUAAG